Molecule: unclassified non-coding RNA, 71 nt
Filed under: Escherichia phage 933W
Lineage: Duplodnaviria; Heunggongvirae; Uroviricota; Caudoviricetes
Also listed under: 1 other name
Description: SokW antisense RNA
Source: RNAcentral
GUUCAGCAUGGAUUGAGCCUCAGAUUAAUGUUAAGCGUCUUGCCGGACGCGUAAUGUUAACUGGGGCUUUU